This 526-nucleotide long non-coding RNA is filed under the name Carica papaya (papaya). RNAcentral describes it as "long non-coding RNA (CPAP_LNC002406)". The record is from RNAcentral. Lineage: Eukaryota; Viridiplantae; Streptophyta; Magnoliopsida; Brassicales; Caricaceae.
ACUAAAAGGUCCACCAAGUUGUCUCACAGCACCUAGAAAACGAUUGUGUAGCUCUCCAAUCCACUUCGACUGAGGUUUCAUGACAGUGGAGACAGCUAGAGGACCGCCAGCUUCCUCCUCCUCCUCUUCCGAAUCCUCAUCAUCAAUAUCGUCAAUAAGAACAAAAUCAAGGUCAUCAUUUCGGGAUUUGAUAACUGGAGUUGCAGGCGCCAUGGUUUCUUGCAGAAAAAGCAAUUUGUUUGAAUCACCAUGAUCUAGUUGGUCAUGACGACCAUCACGAAGCUUUCUGUAACAACUAUUGCUAACCUCACAAGGACUCUCCUUAACAAAAAUCUCUUACCCUUCGUCCUUCAUCCCCGCACGAAUCAUGUCAACAUUUCGAUUAGUACCCAUCAUUUUUUCUUCUACCCUAUUAUCAGACAUGAACCCAGGAACCAACCCAGAGAAACUGUUUUGCAAUGGGACCCGAUAUAUAUAGAUCCUAAGGAAACAGGAAAGAAGGGUCACACGAGAAAUAUCAUGGGGG